CCCUGGUCCCCGUCCUGGCCUUCUCACCUCGGGGCUGGGGCCAAGGCGGGAGCUCACAGCCCGCACUGGGUCUAACCGGUCUCCAAUGCCGCUGCCGGAGGGAGAGGGGCCGCAACCGGUUACGCUGGCACCCGCCCCAAGCUCGGUGACCCGCUCUGUCCCGCCCCGCGCCGCUCGGGAGCGAGGAGCGCUUUGGAAGGCGGGCGGCAUGGAAGGCCGGGAUCAGACUGCAGAGAAGGUGCUCGUGGCCCCGGAGGGGAACGGCGUUAGGGGACCACGAGCUGGAACCCCCUUCAUUCCACCCCUUCCCCCAGGUGGCCUUCCCGAAAGGGAGCUGCUCUUUGGGGAGGCUGAAAUAAUGAGGGGAAUGCCUCUGGACACUUCCAUCCCAUUCCAUCUCUUCAGCGACACAGUGCCCCUCGGGGGAAGCAUUUCUACACAGCUCCCCUGGGUGGCUGCCCGUGGGGUCUCUUAGCAAACAAAUCUCCCUCUUCCCACACCACUGGGUGAGAAGAAUCUCCAAACUGACUCAGGGACUUGGCGUUCUUCUCCUUACCUUGAGCUGGCCAGCCAGACCUCCAAAUCGGACCCAAGACUGCUGGGUCACAGUGUGACAUACUGACUGAAGUUAAGUAAGAGAAACAACCUCCAGGAGAUGAGGACUGCGGGACAAUGGGAUAGGAAGCAAAAGGAACUCUUGAGUGGUUUCCCCACCCCCGCCCCCUCUCCACCUCUUCCCCCACCCUCUGGCCACCUUAGACUCUCUCCCUAGGUAGGAGCCUAGGAACUGAGUGGGUGACAGGACUUUCAAUGGCAUCCCAAGAACUCCAAUCAACAAAAGUUUAUUGAGCACCUGCUGCAUGCUGGGCCUUGAGGCAAGACUGCCUCACUAGGCAACCAAGGUCCUGUUACUUUAAGGUAAAUCCUGAGUCUGGAAGACAAACGGUCUGGGUUAAAAUCUUGCCUCUCAAAUACAUUGUCAUUUUUGCCUGUGUAA
Molecule: long non-coding RNA, 997 nt
Organism: Neogale vison (American mink)
Lineage: Eukaryota; Metazoa; Chordata; Mammalia; Carnivora; Mustelidae
Exons: 2
Source: RefSeq, a predicted model, not a curated record